AACGGGAGGAGAACAACAGGGAUUGCCCCAGUAACGGCGAGUGAAGCGGCAACAGCUCAAAUUUGAAAUCUGGCUCCUAGAGCCCGAGUUGUAAUUUGUAGAGGAUGCUUUUGAUGCGGUGCCUUCCGAGUUCCCUGGAACGGGACGCCAUAGAGGGUGAGAGCCCCGUCUGGUCGGAUGCCAAAUCUCUGUAAAGCUCCUUCGACGAGUCGAGUAGUUUGGGAAUGCUGCUCAAAAUGGGAGGUAUAUGUCUUCUAAAGCUAAAUAUUGGCCAGAGACCGAUAGCGCACAAGUAGAGUGAUCGAAAGAUGAAAAGCACUUUGAAAAGAGGGUUAAAUAGUACGUGAAAUUGUUGAAAGGGAAGCGCCUAUGACCAGACUUGGGCCCGGUGAAUCAUCCAGCGUUCUCGCUGGUGCACUUUGCCGGGCACAGGCCAGCAUCAGUUUGUCUUGGGGGAAAAAGGCUUUGGGAACGUGGCUCCUUCGGGAGUGUUAUAGACCAUUGCAUAAUACCCUGGGACGGACUGAGGUUCGCGCAUCUGCAAGGAUGCUGGCGUAAUGGUCAUCAGCGACCCGUCUUGAAACACGGACCAAGGAGUCGUCUUCGUAUGCGAGUGUUCGGGUGUAAAACCCCUACGCGUAAUGAAAGUGAACGCAGGUGAGAGCUUCGGCGCAUCAUCGACCGAUCCUGAUGUUCUCGGAUGGAUUUGAGUAAGAGCAUACGGGGCCGGACCCGAAAGAAGGUGAACUAUUCCUGUAUAGGGUGAAGCCAGAGGAAACUCUGGUGGAGGCUCGCAGCGGUUCUGACGUGCGAAUCGAUCGUCAAAUAUGGGAAUGGGGGCGAAAGACUAAUCGAACCUUCUAGUAGCUGGUUUCCGCCGAGUUUCUCUCUCGCAAGA
Molecule: ribosomal RNA, 898 nt
Filed under: Simplicillium sp.
Lineage: Eukaryota; Fungi; Ascomycota; Sordariomycetes; Hypocreales; Cordycipitaceae
Description: partial large subunit ribosomal RNA
Rfam family: Eukaryotic large subunit ribosomal RNA
Source: RNAcentral